AAUUGGAGUACGAGGUGACUUGGGCCGAGGAGACGCCAUUUUUGAAGUCUCGUGUAUAAGAUGAGUGUGUGAUGUGUGAUUGUGCGAUGGGAGAGAGGAAUAAAAGAGGUAGUAAAGGACAUUUCCCAGCAAGAUGUGUCACAAAUAGGCACAGCAUCAGACACUGAGGCGUUGUUAUCUGGACAAGUUAGAGCAGAUCUUGAAAUUACAUGCAUCUUGAUGAAUCAUCCUGUAUAUCGAAUUAGAUCGCACAGAACGUUACUUUCCAAAAUAAAUUGCAGCAACAGAUUCUCCAUCUAACGAUACUAGUCUUUAAUUCGUCUCCAGUUGGAUGUGGUUUCUGUAACUGCGCAUAUUUUUUGAUCGUGGGGACUGCGUACGCGUUGUCCCUGUUUUUCUUUUACCUUCAUACUACUGGAAAAUGGAAAUAUGGACGAAUAACUGAAUGCAGUCCGGAACCAUAUAUUAAACUUGACUGAUCUAACGAUACUCCGGAGAAUUAAUUUUUAUCUAUCGCGGUUUACUGUGUUAAUUUCGAUUGAGAGAGCAAUUAAAGAACUAAUGAGCUAUUAUUUGACGAUACUUGUGGCUAAAUGAAAUGAAAUGGUAUCAUUGGACACAAUUAUUUUCAAAAAUUCCUUCAAAAUGAAGUAAAAUAUUUAACAAAAGACAGAUAACGUGAUAAUUAAAUAUAUUGCAACACAUCAUGAGCUUUUGGUUUAAUUUAGUGAAAAACACGUUUCUCGAGAUGUUGCAUUUAUUGUGGGUUGGUACAAAUUUGUGUUUUGGCCAACGGAGAAUAUCAAAUUAUUUGAGCAUAUAUAUCAAAACAAAUACAGGGAAAACACUCUCUGUCGAAUUAGACCCAAAAUGGGAUAUAAAGAAUCUGAAAGAAAUUGUUGCCCCAAAGAUGGGAAUGGCAGCCGAGGAUAUUAAGAUUAUAUUUGCUGGUAAAGAGCUGCAUAAUUCAAUUGUAAUUGAAGAAUGUGAUUUGGGUCAACAAAGCACUUUACACGCAGUAAGGAAUCCACAUAAAAAAUUAAAAAAUCAGUGUGCUUCUAGUUCUAUAGAAGAAUACAAAUCUGAGAGCUCUGACUUGAACGAAAGUGGUAGCAAACCUAUGAAUGAAACUCUUACAGAUUUGUCUUUGGACUCAUCUGAUCAACACAAUUUAUCUACAGAAGAGCAGCAAGACAAUCGAGCACAUUUUUACAUAUAUUGCCCAGGACCUUGUAAGAUUGUGACAGCGGGUAAGCUGAGAGUCAAAUGUGCAAAAUGCAAUAGCGGCGCUGUCACCGUCGACAGAGACCCUCAAUGUUGGUCGGACAUAUUAGAACCGAAUAGGAUAACUGUACAUUGUGAGAAUGACUUUUGUCCUGCAUCCUCACUUAGCGAAGAGGAAUUCCAAGUCACUUACGCUCACUUCUACUUCAAGUGUACAAGACAUGUCAGCUUAGGAGAGGAUGACAAAGUCAUACCUCUUUAUCUCAUUAGAGCAAAUUUAAGGAAUGUCCCUUGCUUAGCGUGUACAGACGUCAGAGAGACGGUAUUGGUAUUUCCGUGCGAAGCUCAUCAUGUAACUUGUCUCGAUUGCUUUUGCGAGUACUGCAUAGUUCGCUUGCAAGAACGACAAUUCCAAUUCGACUCCGUCGAAGGCUACUACACCUUGCCGUGCCCUGCUGGAUGCCCCGACUCUUUUAUUUCCGAAGUUCAUCAUUUUCAUCUUCUUAACGCGGAACUGUACAACAAGUAUCAGAGAUUCGGUACGGAAGAAUACGUUUUACGCAGCGGUGGCUUUCUGUGUCCGAUGCCAGACUGUGGAAUGGGCAUUAUACCGCCCACUAUCGAGGAACAAGCGGAGAAAGAUGAUGACCAACGCCGGAGGAUUCAGUGCAUUGGUGGAUGUGGUACUUUGUUUACAAGGAUACCAUACAGGAAAAUGCGAAUUUCAGCCAUUGGGAGCGUCUACAGAUGUCUCCUCACUUAGAAACUAUUCAGUGGAUCCUCUGAGAGCUAAGGAUGCCAAGUGGGACGAGGCUAGCAGGAAGACGAUACAAGUAUCCACGAAACCUUGUCCUCUGUGCAGAACUCCUACUGAAAGAGAUGGAGGUUGUAUGCACAUGGUAUGUAUGAGAGCAGGAUGUGGGUAUCACUGGUGUUGGGUGUGUCAAAUGCAGUGGACCAGAGAAUGUAUGGCUAAUCAUUGGUUUGG
This 2212-nucleotide unclassified non-coding RNA is filed under the name Harpegnathos saltator (Jerdon's jumping ant). Its description in RNAcentral is "e3 ubiquitin-protein ligase parkin, transcript variant X5". Lineage: Eukaryota; Metazoa; Arthropoda; Insecta; Hymenoptera; Formicidae. The record is from RNAcentral.